GAAGCUGGAAUCGCUAGUAAUCGUAGAUCAGCAUGCUACGGUGAAUACGUUCCCGGGUCUUGUACACACCGCCCGUCACACCACGAGAGUUUGUAACACCCGAAGCCGGUGGAGUAACCAUUUUGGAGCUAGCCGUCGAAGGUGGGACAAAUGAUUGGGGUGAAGUCGUAACAAGGUAGCCGUAUCGGAAGGUGCGGCUGGAUCACCUCCUUUCUAAGGA
RNAcentral lists this ribosomal RNA (220 nucleotides) under Staphylococcus pseudintermedius. RNAcentral's name for it is "partial 16S ribosomal RNA". It matches the Rfam family "Bacterial small subunit ribosomal RNA", at positions 1322 to 1533 of the family's 1533-position model. Lineage: Bacteria; Bacillati; Bacillota; Bacilli; Caryophanales; Staphylococcaceae. The record is from RNAcentral.